This 280-nucleotide long non-coding RNA is filed under the name Selaginella moellendorffii. RNAcentral's name for it is "long non-coding RNA (SMOE_LNC001922)". The record is from RNAcentral. Lineage: Eukaryota; Viridiplantae; Streptophyta; Lycopodiopsida; Selaginellales; Selaginellaceae.
AGCACGGUAAGAUCACUGACAUUCAGGACAUCACAAACCCGUUGCUAUAUGUGAUUGGUAUGUGGUGUUUACUCUCAAUGAAGGUGACCUUGUGCUCUUUUGCACACAUGGUUCGGUUUGUCUCAAUGUUACAAAGCUCUAUUUCGGUAAAGUGGGAUUUAUUCAGUAAAAUGGGACUAGGUACAAAUUUUCAAGUAUUUGAAAAUGACGUGAAAUUAUAUGUUUUUUGUCCAGGGGCUAGACAUAUCUGGGGCAUGGUGACUAGCGCGGUGACUUUGUG